AGAGGUGAAGAAACCUGCUUAGAAAAUCAUAGAUCGUAGUCAAUAUAGGACAAUCUUACUCGGAAUCACACUAGAGUGGCCUGAAACAUGCAAAAGGAGAACUAUAGAUGCGAGCCAACUAGUCUUGGUCCCUUGAGGGCCUUGGAGAUGGCAAGAGUAAUGUGAGAGAAACUACUGGAGGCUUGGGAGGUGGUGAGAAGUCAUCGAAGAUUGCCAUAGAUGAGGUUCAAUAAGGUUUGAUUAGGGUUAGGUUGAGAGCUUUUGAGAGAUGAGAGGAACAGAUGACGACAAUGUAAG
Molecule: long non-coding RNA, 297 nt
Filed under: Nicotiana benthamiana
Lineage: Eukaryota; Viridiplantae; Streptophyta; Magnoliopsida; Solanales; Solanaceae
Description: long non-coding RNA (NBEN_LNC030197)
Source: RNAcentral